This 447-nucleotide ribosomal RNA is filed under the name uncultured bacterium. Its description in RNAcentral is "bacterial SSU rRNA". It matches the Rfam family "Bacterial small subunit ribosomal RNA", at positions 355 to 825 of the family's 1533-position model. The record is from RNAcentral.
UGGGGAAUAUUGGACAAUGGGCGCAAGCCUGAUCCAGCCAUGCCGCGUGGAUGAUGAAGGCCUUAGGGUUGUAAAAUCCUUUCGCCGAGGACGAUAAUGACGGUACUCGGAGAAGAAGCUCCGGCUAACUUCGUGCCAGCAGCCGCGGUAAUACGAAGGGGGCUAGCGUUGUUCGGAUUUACUGGGCGUAAAGCGCGUGUAGGCGGGUCGUUAAGUUGGGGGUGAAAUCCCGAGGCUCAACCUCGGAACUGCCUUCAAAACUGGCGACCUGGACCUAAGUAGAGGCAAGUGGAAUUGCGAGUGUAGAGGUGAAAUUCGUAGAUAUUCGCAGGAACACCAGUGGCGAAGGCGACUUGCUGGACUUAUGGUGACGCUGAGACGCGAAAGCGUGGGGAGCAAACAGGAUUAGAUACCCCAGUAGUCCCUGAGCGGGCUGGCAAGGCGCAU